AACUUUAAUUGAGCAAACAUUCAAUCUUCUGCAUGGGAAAACAAACUUUAAUUGAGCAAACAUUCAAUCUUCUGCAUGGGAAAACAAACUUUAAUUGAGCAAACAUUCAAUCUUCUGCAUGGGAAAACAAACUUUAAUUGAGCAAACAUUCAAUCUUCUGCAUGGGAAAACAAACUUUAAUUGAGCAAACAUUCAAUCUUCUGCAUGGGAAAACAAACUUUAAUUGAGCAAACAUUCAAUCUUCUGCAUGGGAAAACAAACUUUAAUUGAGCAAACAUUCAAUCUUCUGCAUGGGAAAACAAACUUUAAUUGAGCAAACAUUCAAUCUUCUGCAUGGGAAAACAAACUUUAAUUGAGCAAACAUUCAAUCUUCUGCAUGGGAAAACAAACUUUAAUUGAGCAAACAUUCAAUCUUCUGCUUGAGACAAGAAAUACGGUGAAUACAUGACUCUAGUACCACCUAACCCAAAAUGCUGGAAUUGAUGGAUAUGCUUUGUUACAGAAUUUCUUUUAAAGUGAUGGAUGCCUCAAUGACUGUAGAGUGAAAAUGCAUUAUGAACUCUUUGUUCAUGUAGCAAAUGCAAGUGUGCUUUGUGAAUUGAUAAGUGAAAUUAUUUUCUUUUCAUUAUUUCAAAAAGGGUGGUAUAGAUGAGUGCAAUGGUCCCAAAUUCGGGUUGAUGACCCAAAAUGAUGGAUUUAAAUGUGAAAGCUAGUUGUUGCCUUAAAUGAAAAUUUAUGAGUUUUCACUCAUACUGUAAAGCAUGAUUAAUAUCUAUUGAUGACUCUAGUCCCUUUGUAACUGUAAUAUGAAGUGAUUUUGCUGAUGCAAAAUGGAGUGAGUGUUUUUGUUGUGUUAGCCUACUGAUAGGGAGGGGUUUCAUAGGAAGCCUCUAAGGAAGAAACCAAUUACUGAACCAAAGUACAUUUGCAAAUGCAACAGAAACAAACUCUUUGGAGUAUAAACUAUUUUUUACAGCAUCUGGCAUUAUUAUGCAGAUGGCUUAUGUAUUUAUACGGAUGCAUGCAUCGGGAUCAAUGGAGGAAACCAUAACAAGGUUAAGGACCUUUUCAAUGAAUACUUAAUUUGGAGGAUUCAAUAGUUAAAUUUUUUCUUAGUGUAUGUUUUCAUUGGCUUUAUACUAGUUCUUACCUCUUAUGAAUCCUUGUUUUUGGCUUCCUGUCAUAGUUUUUGGCUUACCCUAGUCUUUUUAGUAUCAUUUUUCCAAUUUGCUUGAAGCAUUUUUUAAAUCCAAUGGAACAAAUGGUGUUUGUAUUUACAGCUUUUGAGUAUCAUUUUACCAAUUUGCGUGAAGCAUUUUUAAAAUUCAAUGAAACAAAUGGUUUGUAUUACAACCAUUUUCUGUUUGUCUCCAAAUAUUGGCAAUGUCCAUAGGCAUGUGACACAUACCAUUCAUCACUUUGAAUCCAUUUGUAGUAUCCUUCACUAAAAGUUUCCUCAUUUAAAGUGAGCUCCCAUUUUAGAGUGUAACAGUAAGAUGUUACCUUUUGAUGUAAAACGUGACAGUUAAUAUUUGAAAGGAGUUGCUUCUUAAUUUUCUUGAUUUCCACGCCGACAACUCUCUGCACAAAAUUUCUAUCAGUUUUUUUCCUCAGACAUUCUCCAUUUCAUUAUGAUUGACAAUUUGAUUUUCAGGAUAGUAUCUUCCUUUCUGCUUAUCUACUAGGUUAUAUAUGAUGAGUUAUUUUAGAAAUUUAUGUAAUGAUCCGGACAUGAGGAAGUAUCGUUGGGAGGUGUAUAUGCUUUAGAGGAAAAUGGAAGGCGUGGUUGGAUUUAUUUGUAGCUAUGUCUUUUCCCUAAUAAUACUAGUAAUUUGUCAAUAAUUAAUAUACUAAAUGCGUAAUUUUAGUUUAAAUGUUUUAUGCACAUUUCCUUGGGAGACAUAUGGGUUGCACACAUUGACCUUACUAGCAUGGUGCAUUUCUCAGUUCAGAGUUGCUAAAACAUUGAUGAAGAGUUGGAGAUGAAUAAGCAUAUCACUUCGUGAAGGCAUUAUCUCAGCAGUGUUAGAAAUAUUAUAAAAGUAGAAUGAGAUUAUGCCUGGUGAAGAAAGAGAAUGGACAAAAUUCAAAUAUCACAGUAAGAUGUUAAAAUUGAUUCUUGAGAAGAUUCAGGUAAAAUUCAAACUCAACUCCAGAGAACUCAAUGAUUGAAUGAGUUCCGGUAGUGAUGAGUAAAAUGUAUACAUGUUAGACAGUUUUUACAGAGAGGAGAUAAAUUUGUUGAAAUGUGUGUUUCAUUCAUAAGACCAUUGGUUUCAUUGUAUGAGCCCUUAUAAUAAGGAGAAUAUUCCAACAACUUAUCACAUAAAACUAAAUGGAAAAAAAAAAAAACUAAUAUGUAAAUACCAUAAAAAUAGGAACAUGUAAAGUCCUUAAAGCACAUUCUUGUCCUCAAGAAUGAACAUUCCCAAGUACCAUAUAAAGUUUUCCAUUUGAGUAGAACAAUAGGAACAUGAACACUUUCCAUGUUGACACAAGCUGAAAUUGUACAAAUGGUAUAGUGGAGUGCAAUUUAGGCUCUGCAACAUUUCCAAGAUCAAACCUCAAAUUUUGUAAGGACUUCAAUAGAAGAAAUUGUCCUCUAAAGAUCACUUAUGCAAAAUAGCCAUUGUUUCAACAAGUUUGAAAAAUGACUGAAGACUAUACUGUGACAGAUGGUCAACAUCAAAAUAUGAGUUCUGGCAUAGUUGCAAAGUUGUAUAAAUUGAAUUAAUUAAAUUCAAUUUAAGCACUUGGAGCAAGCUGAGAAUAUUUGAAUUAGGAGGGAAUGUAGUAUGGAUUCAAAUCACUAGUAACUAUACUUGGCAUCCCUUGUAGCUUGGAUUUGUGAUUCAUGAAAAUUUGGAUUGCAACCAUACUGAUACCAGGAAGUGCUUGAAAACACUAUUUGAGAUCCCAAAAUACAACAGCAACAAAUCAUGGGUGCAGUAGUUGAACAACCUUUGGUUCAGUAAUUUAAAACCACUUCCUUUUGUUAAUUCUCGUUCCUCGUACUCCAAGGUUUAUAGGAUAUGGGUAGAGGUCUGAAAUGGGGCAGGUUUAAGAUUGGUGUGCACAUAUUCAUGUAGGCGUUUAAGGUUUCAUGUACUUUGCUUAGGUUAGCAACAUGUUCUAUGUAUUCAUGUUUAGAAAAAUAUUCAGGGGCGUUGCAUGCUCCAAUCCAGUUACGAAGGCGAUGAUUCGGUGCAUUCUCUAGGUAAUUGUAGUUUAUGGACUGUGGUUUCGUUGCUUUAAAAAUACCAUUUGACUGCUCAAAAUCAUUCAUGCUCUCAAAAUGGAUCGUGGUUGCUCCAAGAGCACUCUCUCACUGCAAAUUAACUUCACCCUCUUUUUGCCACCUUUUUAACUUUCUUAGACCUCUCAUAAACCCUCCAUAUUUUUUUCCCAUCAAUAUAAGAUUUGUUAUGCUCUAUAAACUGUAAAUAUAAAUAUGCACAAUUGAUAUAUGUCUGCAUAGAUGUGAUUAUGAUAGUUGUUCUAUGAUGAGAGAUUUUGUUAUAAUAAGCUUAUUUGACAAUUGAUCAAUUAUA
Molecule: long non-coding RNA, 3551 nt
Organism: Cicer arietinum (chickpea)
Lineage: Eukaryota; Viridiplantae; Streptophyta; Magnoliopsida; Fabales; Fabaceae
Source: RefSeq, a predicted model, not a curated record